GACGAACGCUGGCGGCGUGCUUAACACAUGCAAGUCGAACGGAAAGGCCCUGCUUUUGUGGGGUGCUCGAGUGGCGAACGGGUGAGUAACACGUGAGUAACCUGCCCUUGACUUUGGGAUAACUUCAGGAAACUGGGGCUAAUACCGGAUAGGAGCUCCUGCUGCAUGGUGGGGGUUGGAAAGUUUCGGCGGUUGGGGAUGGACUCGCGGCUUAUCAGCUUGUUGGUGGGGUAGUGGCUUACCAAGGCUUUGACGGGUAGCCGGCCUGAGAGGGUGACCGGCCACAUUGGGACUGAGAUACGGCCCAGACUCCUACGGGAGGCAGCAGCGGGGAAUAUUGCACAAUGGGCGGAAGCCGGAUGCAGCAACGCCGCGUGCGGGAUGACGGCCUUCGGGUUGUAAACCGCUUUCGCCUGUGACGAAGCGUGAGUGACGGUAAUGGGUAAAGAAGCACCGGCUAACUACGU
This 467-nucleotide ribosomal RNA is filed under the name uncultured bacterium. Its description in RNAcentral is "partial 16S ribosomal RNA". It matches the Rfam family "Bacterial small subunit ribosomal RNA", at positions 28 to 506 of the family's 1533-position model. The record is from RNAcentral.